Molecule: long non-coding RNA, 607 nt
Filed under: Pongo abelii (Sumatran orangutan)
Lineage: Eukaryota; Metazoa; Chordata; Mammalia; Primates; Hominidae
Description: lincRNA
Source: RNAcentral
GGGAUUUGGAUCCUGCCAGCUCAUUCCUGCAACCCCCUACUCCCGUCCCCUGAAACCUGUCCAUGGCUUGCAGCCCUGUGAUACCUCGCCACAUUCUGCAACAGAAUCCGAGAUAGAGGUAGAAGUUGGGGAGUACAUUGUGGCUGUCGGGGCAGCUUUCUGUAAAAUGCUGCCUGGAGGAGCACGUGAUUCCAGACCCUCCUCUCUGCAAAGAAAGUGAGGUUGACACCUACAGGCCUGGGGCAUGGCUGGCUGUUGCCGUUCAUCUCGGCCUCCUGGCCCACUGAGCAGAACAACAGAAGCUGGGCCCACCCCUGCCCUCCCCACAAAGGGUCACGGGAGCCACCGCCUGACUUUGAAGCCCACUAACUUGCGGCUGACAAGAGAAAAGGGUGUGCCCCUGUGAUCAUGUGAAAGCAUCAGCCAGGGGUCCAAGAACUUCCCUCUGGAGCCUCACACUCCCAGCGUGGCACCUGGCAGGGAACAGAUUCUCUCCAAACCUUUGUGAAUGAAUGAAGGAUAACGUCACUAGAAUCCAUCCCUGUUUUAUUUUUUAUUUUUAUUUUUUGAGACAGAGUCUCACUCUGUCGCCCAGGCUGGAGUGCAG